UAUUCCUUCCUGAUCCUCCAUGUGUACGUGCACUAACGUGAACGGGACCACAACAUUGAAAAAUUCUGUGUUUAUUUCUCAGAUAAUAACAUUUUGUGAACAAUUUGCUUCGCUACUGUUACUCUACAGAUAUCCCUGAAUUUUUAAAAUCUUAAAUCUUUGAUUUUAGAUCUCCUUAAAACGAGAACCUUCAACCGCAAAGUUGAUUGGAUCGAAAACUGAGAAAGGAACACGGGAACGAUCAAACUAGGCUGAGGAAGCCGCCAAACAAUGGCGUACUACGGUCGUGGCGGCGGCGGAGGGUCGCGCCACAGCGACACACCGACUGAUGGCCGAAUAUAUGUCGGGAAUUUACCCCCCGAUAUCAGAGAAAGAGACAUCGAGGAUUUGUUUUUCAAGUACGGCAGAAUAUUGCAUAUUGACCUGAAGAUGCCCAAGGUCGGGCCGCCGUUCGCUUUCGUCGAAUUUGACGAUAAAAGGGAUGCAGAAGAUGCCAUUCACUUCAGGAAUGGCUACGAUUACGAUCGCUACACAUUACGAGUGGAGUGCCCACGAAGUAGCGGUGCUCGUGGGAGCUUCAGUGGAGGCAGCAGUGGCGGUGGUGGUGGAAGAAGAGGGGGACCCCCACCCAGGAGAUCCAAGUACAGGUGUAUUGUGUCAGGACUACCUUCCACUGGCAGUUGGCAAGACUUGAAGGACCACAUGCGCGAGGCUGGCGACGUCUGCUACGCGGAUGUACACAGAGACUGCACUGGUGUUGUGGAGUAUGUGACCGAGGACGACAUGCGUUAUGCCUGCAAGACCCUGGAUGACAGCAAGUUCUGCUCACAUGAGGGUGACACAUGCUACAUUCGUGUGAAAGCAGACUACAAGGGUGGCCGCAGUCGAUCCCGUAGCCGAUCCCCCCGACGCUACAGCCCAAAGCGCAGUCCCCGACGUUCCUCCUACAGCCCCAAGCGGUCGCGUCGCUCCUACUCGCGCUCACGCUCUCGAUCCAGGGGGCGCGACAGCCGCUCCCGAUCCCGUUAAAACUUGUCCGAGCAACGAGACGAGAGUAGAUCCAGAACACACCUGAUGCAGUUGCCAUUUGCGCGGAGAUGCGGACCCUCGUUUUCACAAGGACUAAGGAAACCAAGUGUCGUAAGGACUAAGGACGGACUUACUGAAACUCGGAUUCCUUAGGAUAAGCACUGGAAUCGAGGAGUACAGGAAAAAAGGAUAAGAAAAAAAAAGCAAAACUCGGAAAAAAAUCAUGACGAAACUGGAAAAGAAGGCUCAGAUUUUGGAGCAGCUUUUUUUGGAUUUUUCUUUUUUGGAACAAUGGAUUUCAGACGGGGAUUUGGAUCAAACUUGGAAAGUGAUCAGGAUUUUUCCACAGGAUGGAUAGUUUUGGACGAAAGCGUGGAUGGAUAUGAUGGUAUGAGAUUUAACUGUCGGUGUUGUUUGGGCAUGUUUGAAUCGUGUUUAGUUAACCUUUCAAAAAUGUUUGGGUACAUGUACAUGUACAUCCUUGGAACUUGGCUAUAUGAAUGAAAAGAAAUCCCCCUUUUUUCAGGGGCACUUUUCUGAACAAAAUCCAAUGUGUGUGGAUUGUACAAGUGGCAUAAUGGCCUCUUGAUAGUUCCAGAGUGAAAACUUGACCCUUGUGAACUAUUUGUAUUUUGCUCAUUUAAAGUUCUUUCAUUCAAUGUGAUUUUUUUUUAUACAGGUGUGUUUUGUUUUUGAAUUUUUGAUUCAAACAUGCCCUCUCCAAUUUUAAUGUGUAUUUCUUAUUCAAUUUUUUUUUAAAUCACGUAAUGUAUUGCAGUGUAAGUGACCGAUGUAUAUAUAUAUCAAUUCUGCUUUUAGAUUGCAUGCUUGGCGACGUUUGUGGUUUGGUUUUUAGUGAUGACUGUCUUGUAUGCUUUAACUAAUGACAUUGUGUGCAACACACAGCCGGCACAGAAUUUCCCGGAAUUAGCAAAUGUUUUAUUACAAUGAAUUCAUGGUGAUCAUGACGGGAGUGAUUAAUAUUUUUACCCCAUUAAUAUGCUUUCUGUUUUAAGAACAAAAAAA
Molecule: unclassified non-coding RNA, 2055 nt
Filed under: Patiria miniata (bat star)
Lineage: Eukaryota; Metazoa; Echinodermata; Asteroidea; Valvatida; Asterinidae
Description: serine/arginine-rich splicing factor 1-like, transcript variant X1
Source: RNAcentral